Molecule: ribosomal RNA, 252 nt
Filed under: uncultured bacterium
Lineage: Bacteria
Description: partial 16S ribosomal RNA
Rfam family: Bacterial small subunit ribosomal RNA
Source: RNAcentral
UACGUAGGGGGCACGCGUUGUCCGGAAUUAUUGGGCGUAAAGCGCGCGCAGGCGGUCGAUUAAGUCUGGUGUAUAAACCGAGGGCUCAACCUUUGGACUCCUUGGAAACUGGUCGACUGGAGUGUAGGAGAGGAAAGUGGAAUUCCACGUGUAGCGGUGAAAUGCGUAGAGAUGUGGAGGAACACCAGUGGCGAAGGCGACUUUCUGGCCUAUAACUGACGCUGAGGCGCGAAAGCGUGGGGAGCAAACAGG